This 1099-nucleotide long non-coding RNA is filed under the name Vigna radiata. RNAcentral's name for it is "long non-coding RNA (VRAD_LNC017049)". Lineage: Eukaryota; Viridiplantae; Streptophyta; Magnoliopsida; Fabales; Fabaceae. The record is from RNAcentral.
UUGGGGGAGAAUUGGAAAAGAAAGAAAAAGUUAGGCAUUGAGCUAAUGUGUUGAAUGAAAAUGCAUGAGAAAAAGAUAAGAAAAAGAAAAGCAUGAGAAGAAAAGCUCAAUGUGAGGAAAAGGGGAAGUUGGGAAUGAGUGAGAUUGGUAAAAAGAGAGUUUGUGAUUGAACCAUGAUUAUGUGAAUAACUCUCUUAAUUCAAGGAUUUUGUGAUCUAGAAAAACCAAUUUUCCUUGUGAGCCCAACCACAUUAUAAGCCUUGAAAGGUCCUUAUGAUGACAUAUGUAUGUGAUGAUGUUUGAUUGUGGGAAAUGAAUGGAAAUUUUGUUCUAUGUGACGUGUGGAUAGUAGAGGGAGGGAGUAACCUUUGAUACACUUGAGUGAUUGAGUGAAACACCUUGCUUGGUGAGGAUAAGUCCAUGAAUCCAUGAUUAUAUCUGUGCUUAGUUAAUUGAUCAUUCAUAAGAGUAGCAUCUGUUAAAAAUUAUAUGAUUAUGUGAAAACUAGGUGAGUUAUGAUAAAGUGAAGCAUGUGUGCAUCUUGAUGAUAUUCCAUUGAAAAGUUGAAUUGAGUAAUUACUUGUUGUGAAAUGAUGGGUUUGAAUGUGUUGAACCAUGCUGAGGAUAGGUGAAAAGCUGAGUUUUGUUUGCUUGAGGACAAGCAAAGUUCUCAGUUUGGGGUUGUGAUAACGGUUCAAAACCGUUAUUUGCAUACUUAAUUUGGAUACAAAACACACCCUUUAUGACUUAGAAAUUAGCUUGAAAUCAUGCAAAUUGCUUUAGUUAGGUUACAAGAGCGUCAAAGGUGGUUUUAGAGAUAUUAUGCUUGGAUUUCCUUGUUUUAACAGGAUUAGACGAGAAUUGAAUGAAGGAGAUUGAAGUAGGAAGGAGUUGGACUCAAGAAAGGAUGAAAAAAGGUGCAAAGGAAGAAUCGUAGCCAUCGCUCAAUGUCAGUUUCAGCGCUGAGCGCCUUUUUUGUGAAGAGAGCCACUAUCAGAAGCUUAAGCGCCAAAGCUGAGGGGAAAAGAUAGAGCCGCGCACACCGUUGAGCGUCAGAUCCAGCGCUGAGCAUUGGCCUUUUCAGAAACAGCACUCCCAG